CCUGAUCCAGCCAUGCCGCGUGUGUGAUGAAGGCCUUAGGGUUGUAAAGCACUUUCAGAAGUGAAGAAAGGCGUUGGGUGAAUAAUCUGACGUUUUGACGUUAGCUUCAGAAGAAGCACCGGCUAACUCCGUGCCAGCAGCCGCGGUAAUACGGAGGGUGCAAGCGUUGUUCGGAUUUACUGGGCGUAAAGGGCGUGUAGGCGGACGAUCAAGCUAGGGGUGAAAGCCCAGGGCCCAACCCUGGAACUGCCCUUAGAACUGGUUGUCUAGAAUCCGUAAGGGGAGUGUGGAAUUCCUAGUGUAGAGGUGAAAUUCGUAGAUAUUAGGAGGAACACCAGUGGCGAAAGCGGCUCUCUGGACGGUGACUGACGCUGAGGCACGAAAGCAUAGGUAGCAAACAGGAUUAGAUACCCUGGUAGUC
RNAcentral lists this ribosomal RNA (421 nucleotides) under Alexandrium tamarense. RNAcentral's name for it is "partial Bacterial small subunit ribosomal RNA". It matches the Rfam family "Bacterial small subunit ribosomal RNA", at positions 382 to 795 of the family's 1533-position model. Lineage: Eukaryota; Dinophyceae; Gonyaulacales; Pyrocystaceae. The record is from RNAcentral.